UCUUGUUUACAUGUAUGCUGUCAAGUGAUUUGCUUUGGUCCAUAUAAGUUUUCAAGGGCUAAUUAAAUUCCUUGCGUAUGGAAUAUGUGAUUCAAACUUUUAUUUCCUUUUCGAUGGCAGUAUUGACUCGUCUCUCACAAGCGAAGAAAGGGAACAAAAGAGGAAACAGGCCACUGACAGAGCAACCUUUGUGCAAGGCCUGGUGCUCUCAACUCUAUUUGGGGACUGACUGUUCAAACAGCCAUAGGUUCUUGCUAGAUGGGCGCUUACUCCUGCCUGGUCCCCAUAGUCUGGUAGUGCUCCACCAAGG
Molecule: long non-coding RNA, 310 nt
Filed under: Setaria viridis
Lineage: Eukaryota; Viridiplantae; Streptophyta; Magnoliopsida; Poales; Poaceae
Description: long non-coding RNA (SVIR_LNC005991)
Source: RNAcentral